GCAUGGGUGGCUUAGUUGGUUAAGCAUCUGACUUCAGCUCAGGUCUUGAUCUCAUGGUUCGUGGGGUCAAGCCCCACGUCAUACU
RNAcentral lists this transfer RNA (85 nucleotides) under Felis catus (domestic cat). It matches the Rfam family "tRNA". Rfam says of the family: Transfer RNA (tRNA) molecules are approximately 80 nucleotides in length. Their secondary structure includes four short double-helical elements and three loops (D, anti-codon, and T loops). The record is from Rfam by way of RNAcentral. Lineage: Eukaryota; Metazoa; Chordata; Mammalia; Carnivora; Felidae.